Molecule: unclassified non-coding RNA, 240 nt
Filed under: soil metagenome
Description: partial contains 5.8S ribosomal RNA, internal transcribed spacer 2, and large subunit ribosomal RNA
Source: RNAcentral
AACAUCGCGCACCUGCGGGAACCUGCGGAAGGAUCAUUACAGAGUUGCAAAACUCCCUAAACCAUUGUGAACGUUACCUAAACCGUUGCUUCGGCGGGCGGCCCGGGUCCUUCCCGGCGCCCAUCGGCCCUCGCGGGCGCCCGCCGGAGGUAAACCAAACUAUUGCAUUGUAUGGCCUCUCUGAGUCUUCUGUACUGAAUAAGGCAAAACUUUCAACAACGGAUCUCAGAUCGGAAGAGC